Molecule: long non-coding RNA, 2046 nt
Organism: Myodes glareolus (Bank vole)
Lineage: Eukaryota; Metazoa; Chordata; Mammalia; Rodentia; Cricetidae
Source: RefSeq, a predicted model, not a curated record
AACUAAUCUCAAGGGAUAUUAUUAACUUGGCUGAGAGGUCUAGCAAAUUUUCAGACUCUUGGAAAGCAAGAGAAAAGGUAUGUUCAGAGAAAAAUAGAUUACUUUUGCUUUAUAGAAAACAUAUAACACACGUAAAUUCUCUAUUAAUAGCUGACCAGUGGUGGUGACAACGUCGCAAGGAUGGAAGAGAACGUCAAGCAGAGCUACCCACAGCAACAACCAAUAGAGCUUACGUGGACUCCACGACAGGGGCUCUGUGUACGCUGGAGGAGCAGAGCCUAGUAGCUGCCCCACACACAGAGCUAGGUGCCACACAGGUCCCCGACUGGGGCUGCCUGCCUGCGAACACCCUGGAGAGCUGUGAAGUUAGGGCAGGAUGGAGACAGCAGGAGAGGCAAACCCAUCUGGGAAGAGCCUCACAGAUGAUCGCAGCUCUCAGACACCAUCCAAAAAAUUUCCUUAUGCACCGUGUGGCAGUUGAGGCAGAAACUCGCGAGUGGUCCAGGACAGAAAACACGUCUGUGAGAUGCUCAGCCAUGUAGGGGACAUUGACACCACGCUCCCCCACCACGGCUCUGGAGUCAUCAUGGAGGAAGGGGGAGGAAGACCGUGAGAGUCACAGAUCAGGAGGACUGGAAUCCGACAGCGUCUCUCGGCGAGACAGGCCUGUAGUACUCAUGAGCACACAGCGGCUGUGAGAACAGGAUCAAGCCAGUCAACACAUCGGCAUGGAGAGGUUAGGGCACCCUGAUCCCCCAGCCUAAGCUAAGGAGACAUUUACCGUAGUAGCGGCUGGGGCAGGAAGACAAACUUUUUUCAAGAAUGUGGACCCUUGUAGGUUAGACACUCCAGGGGAUGACCCCACACUUAUGAGCACAUGGGGGCAUGAAUUGGACUUAGUGGGCCACAGAAAAAGAAAAGAGGACAUGCUGCUGGGAGGGGUUUGGAGAUGGGUCUGGGAAGAGUCACUGGGGAGGGAGAACGAGUGUGAAGAAAAUAUCCUGUACGCAUGUUUGAAAUUCUCAGUCUCUUUCUGCUGAGUAGUCAAACCGAAGCCCAAAGCUGCUUUUAGAAUACAGGAGGCAUCGUGUGCGUGUGGGGGAGUUUUUAAUUUUGUUUCUAAUGUUAUUGUUGUCUUUUCACAAAGACUAAAAUUCUCAGGCCGAAUGGCCCUUCACAGAGCCCUCUAAGACCAUCCGAAGGCAUAGAUGUGUGCAUUGUGAUUCAUAACCUUAGCAAAAUUACAGUUAUGAAGUAGCGCCAAAAACAAUUUUACGGUUGGGGUAACUCCAACAUGAGGAACUAUAUCAAGGGGUCGCGGCACUAGAAGGGCUGAGAACCACUGCCUACAUACGCUUACAUUAUCCUGCUAAUUACACUGCUUUCUCUGCUGUUGACCUUUACCCCCCAUUUCCCCUCCUUGCUUAUUUAGAAAUUAAUCUCCAUCAUGAAUAUGCAUGCACAGGAAGAUCAGCGCUUCUAUAACUCCUCCUGGCUUUCCACGCCGGGCACGGGGCCUUGGGAUGCUUCGGCGUGGACAUUGUGGGCCUGCUGUGUUUCUUCUCCUUUUUUCCUCCCUUGACACUCUGUCAGGCUGUGUCUCUCUAGCUGUCUUCAGUGACAGGAUUCUCAUCCUGCAGCCUCAAAGCAGCAAGUCUACCGCACGGUGCUGCUCAGGAGCGCUCUUCUACGCCUCUGAUGACUGAGCUUGCCCUUCCAGUUUCCAACCCCCACACUUUGUGUAAGGAGACUCUUUGGUACCCAAAUUCCCCUCCAAGUCCCCAACUUUUAAUGGGCCACCUAAGGCACAGAGAACAUGGUAGAUAACAGAGUGGGCUGGUAGAGGCCCUGGGGUGAGUACUCCAUGCUUCGGCUUCUCCACCGCUCUCUGCCACAUUCACACAGUGUCCAGCUUCCCAGUCGCAGACAGACUCCAUGGGAUCCAUCACCACUUCUGUUGGUCAUUGAGAUAUUCCAGGUGCUCAGAAUUUCUUGUGGGCAGAGGCGUCGAUGUCACCAAAAUAAAACAAACAGCGCCAGACUAAA